This 440-nucleotide ribosomal RNA is filed under the name uncultured bacterium. RNAcentral's name for it is "partial 16S ribosomal RNA". It matches the Rfam family "Bacterial small subunit ribosomal RNA", at positions 338 to 795 of the family's 1533-position model. The record is from RNAcentral.
CCUACGGGUGGCAGCAGUGGGGAAUAUUGCACAAUGGGGGAAACCCUGAUGCAGCGACGCCGCGUGAGUGAAGAAGUAUUUCGGCAUGUAAAGCCCUAUCAGCAGGGAAGAUAAUGACGGUACCUGACUAAGAAGCCCCGGCUAACUACGUGCCAGCAGCCGCGGUAAUACGUAGGGGGCAAGCGUUAUCCGGAUUUACUGGGUGUAAAGGGAGCGUAGGCGGCAGGGCAAGUCAGAUGUGAAAACCCGGGGCUCAACCCCGGGACUGCAUUUGAAACUGUGCAGCUAGAGUGCAGGAGAGGUAGGCGGAAUUCCUGGUGUAGCGGUGAAAUGCGUAGAUAUUAGGAGGAACACCAGUGGCGAAGGCGGCUUGCUGGACUGUAACUGACGCUGAGGCUCGAAAGCGUGGGGAGCAAACAGGAUUAGAUACCCGUGUAGUC